CAUGCAAGUGGAGCGACGAACCGGGGCUUGCCCCGGGGCAGAGCCGCGAACGGGUGAGUAACACGUGGGUAACCUACCCCGAUGACCGGGACAACCCGAGGAAACUCGGGCUAAUACCGGAUGUGCUCCUUGACUGUGAGGUCAAGGCGUAAAGAUAGCUUCGGCCUUCGCAUCGGGACGGGCCCGCGGCCCAUUAGCUUGUUGGUGGGGUAACGGCCUACCAAGGCGACGAUGGGUAGCUGGUCUGAGAGGACGAUCAGCCACACUGGGACUGAGACACGGCCCAGACUCCUACGGGAGGCAGCAGUGGGGAAUCUUGCGCAAUGCGCGAAAGCGUGACGCAGCAACGCCGCGUGGGGGAAGAAGGCCUUCGGGUUGUAAACCCCUUUCAGUUGGGACGAAGCUUCGCCGGUUAAUAGCCGGCUGGAGUGACGGUACCUUCACAAGAAGCCCCGGCUAACUACGUGCCAGCAGCCGCGGUAAUACGUAGGGGGCUAGCGUUGUCCGGAAUCAUUGGGCGUAAAGCGCGUGUAGGCGGUUCGGUAAGUCCGCUGUGAAAGUCGGGGGCUCAACCCUCGAAAGCCGGUGGAUACUGUCGGGCUAGAGUACGGAAGAGGCGAGUGGAAUUCCUGGUGUAGCGGUGAAAUGCGCAGAUAUCAGAGGAACACCAAUUGCGAAGGCAGCUCGCUGGGACGUUACUGACGCUGA
RNAcentral lists this ribosomal RNA (708 nucleotides) under uncultured bacterium. RNAcentral's name for it is "bacterial SSU rRNA". It matches the Rfam family "Bacterial small subunit ribosomal RNA", at positions 54 to 749 of the family's 1533-position model. The record is from RNAcentral.